UGGGGAAUAUUGCACAAUGGGCGAAAGCCUGAUGCAGCGACGCCGCGUGCGGGAUGAAGGCCUUCGGGUUGUAAACCGCUUUUAAUUGGGAGCAAGCGAGAGUGAGUGUACCUUUUGAAUAAGCACCGGCUAACUACGUGCCAGCAGCCGCGGCAAUACGUAGGGUGCAAAGCGUUAUCCGGAAUUAUUGGGCGUAAAGAGCUCGUAG
RNAcentral lists this ribosomal RNA (208 nucleotides) under uncultured bacterium. RNAcentral describes it as "partial 16S ribosomal RNA". It matches the Rfam family "Bacterial small subunit ribosomal RNA", at positions 355 to 574 of the family's 1533-position model. The record is from RNAcentral.